GCCUACGGGGGGCAGCAGUGAGGAAUAUUGGUCAAUGGGUGCGAGCCUGAACCAGCCAAGUCGCGUGAGGGAGGACGGCCCUACGGGUUGUAAACCUCUUUUGCCGGGGAGCAACGGGCGUCACGUGUGGCGCCACUGAGAGUACCCGGAGAAAAAGCAUCGGCUAACUCCGUGCCAGCAGCCGCGGUAAUACGGAGGAUGCGAGCGUUAUCCGGAUUUAUUGGGUUUAAAGGGAGCGUAGACGGCCAUGCAAGCCUGGAGUGAAAGCCCGGGGCCCAACCCCGGGACUGCUCUGGGAACUGUGC
Molecule: ribosomal RNA, 305 nt
Filed under: uncultured bacterium
Lineage: Bacteria
Description: bacterial SSU rRNA
Rfam family: Bacterial small subunit ribosomal RNA
Source: RNAcentral